Molecule: ribosomal RNA, 684 nt
Filed under: Verrucosispora sp. PnA 1
Lineage: Bacteria; Bacillati; Actinomycetota; Actinomycetes; Micromonosporales; Micromonosporaceae
Description: bacterial SSU rRNA
Rfam family: Bacterial small subunit ribosomal RNA
Source: RNAcentral
GCUCAGGACGAACGCUGGCGGCGUGCUUAACACAUGCAAGUCGAGCGGAAAGGCCCUUCGGGGUACUCGAGCGGCGAACGGGUGAGUAACACGUGAGCAACCUGCCCUAGGCUUUGGGAUAACCCUCGGAAACGGGGGCUAAUACCGAAUAUUCACUCAUGGGCGCAUGUUUGUGGGUGGAAAGUUUUUCGGCUUGGGAUGGGCUCGCGGCCUAUCAGCUUGUUGGUGGGGUAAUGGCCUACCAAGGCGACGACGGGUAGCCGGCCUGAGAGGGCGACCGGCCACACUGGGACUGAGACACGGCCCAGACUCCUACGGGAGGCAGCAGUGGGGAAUAUUGCACAAUGGGCGGAAGCCUGAUGCAGCGACGCCGCGUGAGGGAUGACGGCCUUCGGGUUGUAAACCUCUUUCAGCAGGGACGAAGCGCAAGUGACGGUACCUGCAGAAGAAGCGCCGGCCAACUACGUGCCAGCAGCCGCGGUAAGACGUAGGGCGCGAGCGUUGUCCGGAUUUAUUGGGCGUAAAGAGCUCGUAGGCGGCUUGUCGCGUCGACUGUGAAAACCCGUGGCUCAACUGCGGGCCUGCAGUCGAUACGGGCAGGCUAGAGUUCGGUAGGGGAGACUGGAAUUCCUGGUGUAGCGGUGAAAUGCGCAGAUAUCAGGAGGAACACCGGUGGCGAAGGCG